RNAcentral lists this long non-coding RNA (1089 nucleotides) under Homo sapiens (human). RNAcentral describes it as "long intergenic non-protein coding RNA 1091". The record is from RNAcentral. Lineage: Eukaryota; Metazoa; Chordata; Mammalia; Primates; Hominidae.
GAAGAGUUGAUUAUUUGGGACUUGAAGGAGGUUUGACAUGAGAACCUGCAUUUAAAACCACAGAUUGGGCUCUGCUUGCUGGACCCCAGGUGACGAUAUAUCCACGUAUUCUGUUAUAAAUUUGGGUUUGUAUGUUCAUAAUGUGUGGCACUCUCUAAAGUGUGAGGCCCAAAGGAGGAUAUUCUUACACAGGCCUGAAGUGGUUGGACUGAGUCCCAUGAAGCCAGAUCACUUCUGACUGCAAGGAGCUUGGAAAAGCAAGUAUCUGGAUCUUUUACCAGCUAAAUUUGGAGAAUUAUUGAUCAAAUUUGGAUCUCUGUGUGCUGUCCUCCAAUUUAAUACUUUCUGUGUUGCUGUUUUAUUUUCUUUCUUCUGGAACCUGGCAAAGUGCGUCAAGCGAUGAGGCUUCCUCUUUGAAGAUCACAGGUGAGAAGAUUAGGUGCUUUCUCAGAAGCCCAGCAACCUGAUGGGAGUGUGGAGUGAGCAAGACCCAAAUCGGAGCUUCAUCCCUGCAUGGUUCAUUUUGCUUAUUUGGCAAACUUGCCCUGCAGAAUCUACUCAAGCUUCCUCAGUUUCUCAAAUCAUUCUUGGGCAACAAAUGAACAAGAAAGAGGACGUCUUAUUAUCUGGUGUCUGGCUUGCUGAUUUAAUAACCUAGGAGACAGUGUUUGAAGAACACAAACUCUAAAGUCCUUCACUUAAAAAAAAAAAAAAACUUUCCCAAAUUGCUUACCAUUUGGAAAAAUUGCCUUACCUUCUUCAGUCAUCUCUGAUGUUGUCAUCCUCAGAGUAAGAAGUACGCAUUCAUAAGGAACCAUAACGUCCUUCAGGAAAUCCAGUACACCCUACAAUUUUACCUAAAACUUUGAUGUUGUUUUUUCUGAGCAUUUUACCUUCUAGGGAAAUGGAUCUCAUGCUGUUUAUCAGUUUCUGAAAGUUGUUAUUAAUCUCCCCUCAUCCCAAAAUUGAAGAACUUUGCUUAAAUCUUAGAAUCAGAACUUUGGCUCCAGUAAUAAAGACUUUUCAAUAUCUUUAUCUGCCAUUGAGUCUUACCUAACGAAAUAAAGCCUCCAAAGUGGGAAUUUGAAA